UAACCUGUAAUAUCCCAUACAUGAUCAACAACAUACAUAAAACUGUAAACUUUUUCUUUCUUUUUCCAAGCUUAACCUGAACAUGUGCACAUCUAAUAACAUAACCACCACUGGAGUCCUCAUCAAAUGCUCCAAUGGGGUUUUUCAUCAUUCGAUAAGCUUGGAUUAUCAAGUACAUCAUAAAAACAUUUCUAUAGAUCAUGUGUCAAGGGGAUAACCAUAACAUAGGGUCAAGCACAUACUAGUCCUCAAUCAUCCUCAUCAUUACAUAACUAUACAUUACUCUUUCAUUACAUUAACAUAGUCAUAAAUACUCAUUACAUCAUANNN
This 330-nucleotide long non-coding RNA is filed under the name Manihot esculenta (cassava). RNAcentral's name for it is "long non-coding RNA (MESC_LNC009169)". The record is from RNAcentral. Lineage: Eukaryota; Viridiplantae; Streptophyta; Magnoliopsida; Malpighiales; Euphorbiaceae.